GGGGAAAGCUCAGUGGUAGAGCGCAUGCUUAGCAUGCACAAGGUCCUGGGUUCAAUCCCCAGUAUCUCCA
Molecule: transfer RNA, 70 nt
Filed under: Camelus bactrianus (Bactrian camel)
Lineage: Eukaryota; Metazoa; Chordata; Mammalia; Artiodactyla; Camelidae
Also listed under: 2 other names
Rfam family: tRNA
About the family: Transfer RNA (tRNA) molecules are approximately 80 nucleotides in length. Their secondary structure includes four short double-helical elements and three loops (D, anti-codon, and T loops).
Source: Rfam by way of RNAcentral